CGUCAAGUCAGCAUGGCCCUUACGUCCUGGGCUACACCCACGCUACAAUGGCCGGUACAGCGGGCUGCGAAACCGCGAGGUGGAGCGAAUCCCUCAAAGCCGGUCUCAGUUCGGAUUGUAGGCUGCAACUCGCCUACAUGAAGCCGGAGUUGCUAGUAACCGCGGGUCAGCAUACCGCGGUGAAUACGUUCCCGGGCCUU
This 200-nucleotide ribosomal RNA is filed under the name uncultured organism. Its description in RNAcentral is "partial small subunit ribosomal RNA". It matches the Rfam family "Bacterial small subunit ribosomal RNA", at positions 1183 to 1382 of the family's 1533-position model. The record is from RNAcentral.